AUUGAACGCUGGCGGCAUGCUUUACACAUGCAAGUCGGACGGCAGCGGGGUAGUGCUUGCACUACUGCCGGCGAGUGGCGAACGGGUGAGUAAUAUAUUGGAACGUACCGGGUAAUGGGGGAUAACCAAUCGAAAGAUUGGCUAAUACCGCAUACGCUCUGAGGAGGAAAGCAGGGGACCUUCGGGCCUUGCGCUAUUCGAGCGGCCAAUAUCUGAUUAGCUAGUUGGUGGGGUAAAGGCCUACCAAGGCGAUGAUCAGUAGCGGGUCUGAGAGGAUGAUCCGCCACACUGGGACUGAGACACGGCCCAGACUCCUACGGGAGGCAGCAGUGGGGAAUUUUGGACAAUGGGCGCAAGCCUGAUCCAGCCGUGCCGCGUGUCUGAAGAAGGCCUUCGGGUGGUAAAGGACUUUUGUUAGGGAAGAAAAAGGAGCGGUUA
Molecule: ribosomal RNA, 438 nt
Filed under: Neisseria elongata
Lineage: Bacteria; Pseudomonadati; Pseudomonadota; Betaproteobacteria; Neisseriales; Neisseriaceae
Description: bacterial SSU rRNA
Rfam family: Bacterial small subunit ribosomal RNA
Source: RNAcentral